RNAcentral lists this ribosomal RNA (840 nucleotides) under Triticum aestivum (bread wheat). Its description in RNAcentral is "partial small subunit ribosomal RNA". Lineage: Eukaryota; Viridiplantae; Streptophyta; Magnoliopsida; Poales; Poaceae. The record is from RNAcentral.
AUGGCUCUCAACUUCGGUCGCUCCAUCUCUUUCCCUCUCACGCCGGCGAGGUCCUUCUCCAAGCCCCGCCAUACCCGCUCCAUCAGCCUUCCGGGUAACGCCUCCUCCCACCCGCUCCUCGCCAACCUCCACGCCCACAUCGCCGCCGUCCGUUCCUGGAUCCAGCAGGGCCCUUCCUCCUCACUCCCGGCCGGCCUGGCCGCCAUCCAGGCGCUCCACUCCUCCCUGGCCAACCUCCUCCUCCUCCCGGAGUCCGGGACCGUGCUUCGGAGCCCUACCAGCAAUGCCGCCGACUACCUCCUCGAUGCAUUCCUCCUCCUCGCCGACGCGCACCAGGGCUUCCAUGAGUGCCUUAUGUCGCUCAGGCACGCCGCCACCGAGUCCUGCGCGGCCUUGCGUAGGGGCGACGCCGGGAGGCUCGCGUCCGCUGCCAGGUCCCAGCGUCAGGCCGAGAAGGAGCUCGCCCGUCUCGCCGCGUCCGUCUCUGCCGUCUUCUCCAAGAGCGCGCGCCUGAACCUCGCCGCCGUUAGCGGUGAGGAGGCCGAAAUGGCCUACGCGCUCGUCGAGGCGGCCGCUGCAAGCGCCGUGGCCUUCGCGGCCGUGUUCUCGGCCGCCGCGUCCAUGUCGACCGCGGCGUCAUCUUCCAAGAAGACAGCCACGUUUAUUCCCGCGUUCGCCAGGAGGGCCGCCACCGCGCCGGAGACGGCGGAGGCCACAGUGGAGAGGCUGCACGCUUUGGAAAGGUGCUUGAGCGAGUGCGACGGCGUCUGCGACAUGGUGUUCAGGAGCGUGGUGCAGAUCAGAGUUUCACUGCUCAACAUCAUGACGCCUACCAUCUAG